Molecule: non-coding RNA, 69 nt
Organism: Podarcis lilfordi (Lilford's wall lizard)
Lineage: Eukaryota; Metazoa; Chordata; Lepidosauria; Squamata; Lacertidae
Source: the annotation of a GenBank genome assembly
GCUGUAGCUCAGAGGUAGAGCAUCUGCUUUGCAUGCAAGAGGUUCCAGGUUCAAUCCCAGGCAUCUGCA